Molecule: ribosomal RNA, 245 nt
Filed under: uncultured prokaryote
Description: partial 16S ribosomal RNA
Rfam family: Bacterial small subunit ribosomal RNA
Source: RNAcentral
UACGGAGGAUGCGAGCGUUAUCCGGAUUUAUUGGGCUUAAAGGGUGCGUAGGCGGAACAAUAAGUCAGUGGUGAAAGACUGCAGCUUAACUGUAGACUUGCCGUUGAUACUGUUGAUCUUGAGUAUGGUCAAGGCAGGCGGAAUGUGUAAUGUAGCGGUGAAAUGCUUAGAUAUUACACAGAACACCGAUUGCGAAGGCAGCUUGCUGGGCCAUUACUGACGCUGAUGCACGAAAGCGUGGGGAU